Molecule: small RNA, 1861 nt
Filed under: Pan troglodytes (chimpanzee)
Lineage: Eukaryota; Metazoa; Chordata; Mammalia; Primates; Hominidae
Description: retained intron
Source: RNAcentral
GUGGGGCCUCCGGUUGCCGCCCCCUCGGGUAAGGCCCUCUGCUCCUCACUCUUCGGCCCUUUUUCUCAUAGCCGUUUCUCUGUUCUUCCUCUUUGCGUUGCUCUGCGGGCGCUACGCUGGCUCCGCCGCCUUCUUUGCCGUUCAAACCCCGGGGUUGUCCUUACCCUAGCGAAGGUAGGGGGGUCGGGUGCCAUCGUCUUUCCGACGGAGUGGAUAUUUGUCCCUCCUUGAACCACAUGGUACCUAAAGGUGCUGGUGUCUGUGAUCCCUGGAGACAGGAGGGAAUGCUGGAUGAUCCCGACCAGCGGGAGCUUGGACAGCAGCCUGGUUUAAGCAAGGGGUAGGGAAAGCCAAAGACAAGAGUAGGCAGACCUGAAGGGGUGGGGUUGGGUACAGUGUGGACGGCGUGUGAACCCCGGGUGGUAACAGUGGAGAAAGAUGUCUUGGGCCCUGCCCCUGAACUAGGAGCCACCAUGUUGGUGAUACCCCCCGGACUGAGCGAGGAAGAGGAGGCUCUGCAGAAGAAAUUCAACAAACUCAAGAAAAAGAAAAAGGCAUUGCUGGCUCUGAAGAAGCAAAGUAGCAGCAGCACAACCAGCCAAGGUGGUGUCAAACGCUCACUAUCAGAGCAGCCUGUCGUGGACACAGCCACAGCAACAGAGCAGGCAAAGCAGCUGGUGAAGUCAGGAGCCAUCAGUGCCAUCAAGGCUGAGACCAAGAACUCAGGCUUCAAGCGUUCUCGAACCCUUGAGGGGAAGUUAAAGGACCCCGAGAAGGGACCAGUCCCCACUUUCCAGCCGUUCCAGAGGAGCAUAUCUGCUGAUGAUGACCUGCAAGAGUCAUCCAGACAUCCCCAGAGGAAAUCUCUGUAUGAGAGGUUAGAGAGUAGAGAUAAGACUGGGCCCAUUUGGUGGAGUUGAUUGCCUGAGUCCUUGGGAGGUUUGGGCUGUAGGAGCUGGGCUAUAGAGGGAAUAUUGAGUCUCCACAGGGUCUGAGGGGAGAAGGUAAAACCCCCCUUUGAUCUUCAGUCUGCAUCUCCCCAGCUUUGUGUCUUCUAGUGAUCGACUUCGAGAACUAGGACCAGAUGGAGAAGAGGCAGAGGGCCCAGGGGCUGGUGAUGGUCCCCCUCGAAGCUUUGACUGGGGCUAUGAAGAACGCAGUGGUGCCCACUCCUCAGCCUCCCCUCCCCGAAGCUGCAGCCGGGACCGCAGCCAUGAGAGGAACCGGGACAGAGACCGAGAUCGGGAGCGGGAUCGAGACCGGGAUCGAGACAGAGACAGAGAGCGGGACAGGGAUCGGGAUCGGGAUCGGGAUCGAGAUCGAGACCGGGAACGGGACAGGGAUCGGGAGCGGGAUCGAGACCGAGACCGAGAGGGUCCUUUCCGCAGGUCGGAUUCAUUCCCUGAACGGCGAGCCCCUAGGAAAGGGAAUACCCUCUAUGUAUAUGGAGAAGACAUGACACCCACCCUUCUCCGUGGGGCCUUCUCUCCUUUUGGAAACAUCAUUGACCUCUCCAUGGACCCACCCAGAAACUGUGCCUUCGUCACCUAUGAAAAGAUGGAGUCAGCAGAUCAGGCCGUUGCUGAGCUCAACGGGACCCAGGUGGAGUCUGUACAGCUCAAAGUCAACAUAGCCCGAAAACAGCCCAUGCUGGAUGCCGCUACUGGCAAGUCUGUCUGGGGCUCCCUCGCUGUCCAGAACAGCCCUAAGGGUUGCCACCGGGACAAGAGGACCCAGAUUGUCUACAGUGAUGACGUCUACAAGGAAAACCUUGUGGAUGGCUUCUAGGGAACAGAGCUGGAUUCCUUGUGCCUCAUAUGCCCCAAUGCUGGUCUCAGUAAAACACUGAGGUGGAAGCUUA